Molecule: non-coding RNA, 85 nt
Organism: Fomitopsis betulina (razor strop fungus)
Lineage: Eukaryota; Fungi; Basidiomycota; Agaricomycetes; Polyporales; Fomitopsidaceae
Source: the annotation of a GenBank genome assembly
GGGCGCAUGGUGUAGUUGGUUAUCACAUCCGCUUAGCACUGUAGUCGCUUGCGGGGGGUGCCGAGUUCAAUUCUCGGUGUGUCCA